AAAAGCUCAAAAUGGGAAGGAAAUCGAAGGCAAGAGGGAGAGGGAAAAGCAAUCAAAUGACUAAUUCGACCCAAAAUCAUGGAGGAAGAGGUAUUCCUAGGACUGAGGAUUUGAAGAAACAGAGAAAUAUUAACGCAAUUACAUGCAUAGUACCAUUUGAGAUGGAGCGAGAAAUGAGGAAUAUACUAGUAAAACUCAGAUUGAAAGCAUGCAAGGGACUGGAACAAGCAGUCAAUCCUGGGCGGAUAAGGUGGAGGAAGAAAGAAUAGCAAGGAGACACAAACACAAGAGAAGAAAACGUAGAGCAGAAUUGUAG
RNAcentral lists this long non-coding RNA (316 nucleotides) under Nicotiana benthamiana. RNAcentral describes it as "long non-coding RNA (NBEN_LNC013785)". Lineage: Eukaryota; Viridiplantae; Streptophyta; Magnoliopsida; Solanales; Solanaceae. The record is from RNAcentral.